CCGGCGACGGGUGAGUAACGCGUAUGCAACUUACCUAUCAGAGGGGGACGAACCGGCGAAAGUCGGACUAAUACCGCAUGAAGCAGGGGCCCCGCAUGGGGAUAUUUGCUAAAGAUUCAUCGCUGAUAGAUAGGCAUGCGUUCCAUUAGGCAGUUGGCGGGGUAACGGCCCACCAAGCCGACGAUGGAUAGGGGUUCUGAGAGGAAGGUCCCCCACAUUGGUACUGAGACACGGACCAA
This 239-nucleotide ribosomal RNA is filed under the name uncultured bacterium. RNAcentral's name for it is "partial 16S ribosomal RNA". It matches the Rfam family "Bacterial small subunit ribosomal RNA", at positions 102 to 334 of the family's 1533-position model. The record is from RNAcentral.